This 253-nucleotide ribosomal RNA is filed under the name uncultured bacterium. Its description in RNAcentral is "partial 16S ribosomal RNA". It matches the Rfam family "Bacterial small subunit ribosomal RNA", at positions 524 to 776 of the family's 1533-position model. The record is from RNAcentral.
UACAGAGGGUGCGAGCGUUAAUCGGAAUUACUGGGCGUAAAGCGUGCGCAGGCGGUUUUGUAAGUCUGUCGGGAAAUCCCCGGGCUCAACCUGGGAAUUGCGAUGGAGACUGCAAGGCUAGAAUCUGGCAGAGGGGGGUAGAAUUCCACGUGUAGCAGUGAAAUGCGUAGAGAUGUGGAGGAACACCGAUGGCGAAGGCAGCCCCCUGGGUCAAGAUUGACGCUCAUGCACGAAGGCGUGGGGAGCAAACAGG